Molecule: ribosomal RNA, 483 nt
Filed under: uncultured bacterium
Lineage: Bacteria
Description: bacterial SSU rRNA
Rfam family: Bacterial small subunit ribosomal RNA
Source: RNAcentral
AUUGAACGCUGGCGGCAUGCUUUACACAUGCAAGUCGAACGGUAACAGGUCUUCGGAUGCUGACGAGUGGCGAACGGGUGAGUAAUGUAUCGGAACGUGCCCAGUAGCGGGGGAUAACCUGGCCGAAAGGUCAGCUAAUACCGCAUACGCCCUACGGGGGAAAGGGGGGGAUCGCAAGACCUCUCACUAUUGGAGCGGCCGAUAUCGGAUUAGCUAGUUGGUGGGGUAAAGGCCUACCAAGGCGACGAUCCGUAGCUGGUUUGAGAGGACGACCAGCCACACUGGGACUGAGACACGGCCCAGACUCCUACGGGAGGCAGCAGUGGGGAAUUUUGGACAAUGGGGGAAACCCUGAUCCAGCCAUCCCGCGUGUGCGAUGAAGGCCUUCGGGUUGUAAAGCACUUUUGGCAGGGAAGAAACAGCCUGGGCUAAUAUCCCGGGCGACUGACGGUACCUGCAGAAUAAGCACCGGCUAACUACGUG